Molecule: ribosomal RNA, 253 nt
Filed under: uncultured bacterium
Lineage: Bacteria
Description: partial 16S ribosomal RNA
Rfam family: Bacterial small subunit ribosomal RNA
Source: RNAcentral
UACGUAGGGGGCAAGCGCUAUCCGGAUUUACUGGGUGUAAAGGGAGCGUAGACGGCUUUGCAAGCCAGAUGUGAAAGCCCGGGGCUCAACCUCGGGACUGCAUUUGGAACUGUAUGGCUGGAGUGUCGGAGAGGCAGGCGGAAUUCCUAGUGUAGCGGUGAAAUGCGUAGAUAUUAGGAGGAACACCAGUGGCGAAGGCGGCCUGCUGGACGAUGACUGACGUUGAGGCUCGAAAGCGUGGGGAGCAAACAGG